Long non-coding RNA from Mytilus californianus (California mussel), 552 nucleotides. RefSeq lists it as uncharacterized. NCBI's taxonomy places the organism in Eukaryota, Metazoa, Mollusca, Bivalvia, Mytilida, Mytilidae. The record is from RefSeq and is a predicted model, not a curated record. The transcript is spliced from 3 exons.
GUUAUCUGUGGCUGAACGUUGGCAAGCAAUUGGCAUGUCAAAUGCCGGUAGGAGUACCAGGAGCAUAGGAGCAGCAGAUUGAUUUGUCCUAUAUUCGAUGAAAUUUUGCCUUGCCUUCCUAUGAAAACCAGAAAGAGGCUUCAUUUUGGCGUUCGUCACUAAGAUAAACCAUUUGACAAAAUUGUAUCAGAAGCAAACAGGACGGAUUGAUGGUACAAAGUUUCAACUGAACUAGAUAGAAAAUCACAUUUUCAUCUUCUUCCGUGAGUAAAGCCGAUGUGACCGAUUUUUAAGUUUUAUAUUUAACUACCAGGCCAAAUUUUACCAAUCCAUUCGUAUUAGAAUUUAUACACCGAAGGAUUGUUUUUACAAAAGAUGCCUAUGGGUAGUGAAUAAGAUUAGUAAGGUGACCGUCAAAAGCUUUCUUUGGUUCUGGUUUAAGCCUGGUAUCUUUAAAGGGGCAUUAGCUGUCAAAUUCGUUUUCAUUAAUUUUUCAUAUUUGAUUUAUAACAUACAUAUAUCCAAAUUACAAAAAGUCUAAAAGUCCAAAAG